Molecule: ribosomal RNA, 274 nt
Filed under: uncultured bacterium
Lineage: Bacteria
Description: partial 16S ribosomal RNA
Rfam family: Bacterial small subunit ribosomal RNA
Source: RNAcentral
AUACGAAGGGGGCUAGCGUUGUUCGGAUUUACUGGGCAUAAAGCGCACGUAGGCGGAUUGAUUAGUUAGGGGUGAAAUCCCGAGGCUCAACCUCGGAACUGCCUUUAAUACUGUCAAUCUCGAGACCGGAAGAGGUGAGUGGAACUCCUAGUGUAGAGGUGGAAUUCGUAGAUAUUAGGAAGAACACCAGUGGCGAAGGCGGCUCACUGGUCCGGUACUGACGCUGAGGUGCGAAAGCGUGGGGAGCGAACAGGAUUAGAAACCCCAGUAGUCC